GUGACUCUGUUCAACGGCCGCGGUAUCCUAACCGUGCGAAGGUAGCGUAAUCACUUGUUCUUUAAAUGAGGACUAGUAUGAAUGGCACCACGAAGGUUAUACUGUCUCCUUUUUCUAAUCAGUGAAACUAAUCUUCCCGUGAAGAAACGGGAAUAAAAAUAUAAGACGAGAAGACCCUAUGGAGCUUUAAACAAAUAUACACCUGCCUCUUUACCAAAAAUUUCAGAAGACAAGUAAUUACCCGGGCAUUUUGAUAUAGCGUUUUAGGUUGGGGUGACCGCGGAGCAAAAAACAACCUCCGCAGCGAACGGGAGUAUUCCCUAAACCAAGGGCCACAACCCCAAGUAUUGAUAAAUCAACACUAAUUGACCCA
RNAcentral lists this ribosomal RNA (373 nucleotides) under Leptodactylus mystaceus (basin white-lipped frog). RNAcentral's name for it is "partial 16S ribosomal RNA". It matches the Rfam family "Bacterial large subunit ribosomal RNA", at positions 1914 to 2422 of the family's 2925-position model. Lineage: Eukaryota; Metazoa; Chordata; Amphibia; Anura; Leptodactylidae. The record is from RNAcentral.